AGCACAACGACCAACACAGAGACCCCAGAGUCUGGGUGAUGGAAGAGGAAGACAGAAAACAGUUUAUGCAACCUGUGAAAACACAGCACUCAGGAGCUGAGGCAGAGGCUCUCCAGUGUGGCUAGCCUGAACUACAGAGCAAGGUUCUGUCAACAGAGUGGGGUUAGGGGGAAAGGGACAGAGAAGAGGGAGGGAGGAGAGAAAAGAGAGAGUGUGAGUUUUCUCACCAAGUGUCUCUGGAGUCAAAGACAAUUCAAUCAAACUUUCUGAGGGCAGAAAUUGACAAGGUGAUUUAAAAGUUAUACAGACAUACAAAAGAUAUGAACUAGCAAGCUCUGAUUUUCAGGAAAGGUUGAAUGUUUUUGUCAUGCUAAAACCUCAAGUUCUCCGUGAAGCUGCAGUGACGAAAUCCAGUGCAGGUGCGUGCGGACAAUGGACUCACUGUGGCCAUGAAACACGGUCACUUUUGUUCCAAAAUCUGAUUCUUGACAAAGCCAAUAAAGGAAGGAAACAGUCUUAAACAAAUAGUUCUAGAAGAACAGGACAGUACUACAGGAAAAGAAUUCAAUGUCCAGUUCAUCACACAUGGCAAUGAAAGUAAGGUGGAUCAGAGACCUGGACACAAUUGCAGCUUCUGGGACCGGAUAUGGGAAAAUAGUUCCCCAACCUCAGGGAAGAUUUUGAAGAACACAGGAAGCUUUCCCCAUGAAAGAAAAACAAAUGAGGCAAUUCUGAUUGUAUCCAAAGUAAACUCUUCUGCCCAACAAGAGACUGUUUACUUCCACUUCUGGUCAGGAUGGAGUCACAGGAUCCAAGCUUAAGCAUCCUGUCCCCUGCACUGUGAUUCCUGGGGACCAGGACAGUCUGGGCACUGAGGCAUGCCUGUGGAGUGGCCCGUUCAGAGAGAACCAUCUGGGGCCAGAGACGUUGACUCAAACAUUGAAGCCUGGCUCCAAGUUGUAUCUUUGGGUCAUACGUGUGGGUGGGAAGUCCCAAAUGCAGGUCUCUUUACCUAGCAUGUCAGUCCAUUCUGGAGGCUCCUUCCCCACCCUUCAGGGUAGCUGUUGAGGGUUUAAUCAGGCUACCCACCCCCAUGGCCAACCCCAGUUUCUUCCCAGGUACUCGGCUCCUCCUUCCUUGCCUCCUGUCCAGGGCCCUGGCUCCAGCUGCUCUGCCCGGCUGAGCGUUACUAUUUUUGGCUGUAACCUAAGCAGCUGCCCAUUAAAAUUCCAUUAGUUUCAAAGGCUGGAGCUGCAGUUGAUAUUUCUAAUUAUUGUGAAAUUAAAAUUGUCUCUGUAAUUUAAUGAUAAUUGCACGAGAUGCCAGCUGGUGCCCCAGGGAGCUGCCCUGUUCCUAAGCAGAACUUGGAAAGUCUCUUGAAAGUUCUUUGAAUAAGGAAACAGGAAGGGGAGGAGGGGGCCGGCACACAGUUGGAAUCUAAAUUUCCGGCAUCAAUAGGCUGUGGUGAACCCAGGCCUCUGAGGAGGCAGCUUGGCUCCCUGAGUCAGUGGGGCUAUAGUGAAAGGUUGACACCAGCCUUCUCCCAGCUCUGAGGAUAGGAUUGAUUGGGGGGUGGAGAGGGGAUAGCUUGAUAUAUUACAAUCUAACCCUAUGGGAAUAAAUGUGACAUUAUGGAGAAGGUUCUAGAAGCUUACAGAAGCUCUUUCUGGGACGGGCCUUGCAUUUAAUGGACAGUUUUACUUUUGUUUGUUUGUUUUGUUAUGGUAGUGGUGGUAGUGGAUUUUGUUGUUGUUUUCUUAAUGCAGUGAGUCUCCAAGGAACGGAGUUCUGCUUGAUUUACUGGCCUCUCUUCCAGCCAUGUCUGGAGAACUGACAGGAGGACUGGGGGGCCAUGCUGCUGUCCUGAUGAACUUCCAGUUCUCGUGAGUCUAAGGCUCAGGUCAGAUUCUAUGUUCCACAGGCUGCCAAGGCCCCAUACUCUGGAUGCUACAUGGCCAGUGAUACUCUGUGUUAGCUGUCCCUUGAGGCAGGGCAAGCCCAGGUUCUGACCAUUUGCAGAAUGACGGUUCAGCACAAAGCCAUCUCCCCUAGUGAACUUUACCGAGUGGCAAGAAAGCUCUGUAUGCGGCCAUUUCUGCUCUUGCAUCGUUCUGCGUCUGGGUAUCUGCUCAGGCACACGAUGACUGUUCACCACCCUUCUCCCAGGACAGCCCUGCAGUGGGCAGAGCAGCCCACGUGGCUCCCUAUUCAACUGUCCUUGUCCUUUAAGCCAACUCUGUGCUUAGUUUAGUUGCUAAUUUUUUUUCAAUUUCUACUUCCUGUUAAAACUGUGUUUGGUUGCAGAUAUGAGAACAAUACCGAUCUGGUUUGAACUCACGUCUUAUUUGCAUAAAAAAAAGCAAAGCCGGGGUACCAGCACCACGGUAUCCUCUGACUUUCAUCCUUAAAGUUCCCUUGGAGUGCUAUAAAGCCAGGAGCCAGACGCCUCCACCUCACUCUUUUUGGUGAAGAAAUGAAAGGACAUGAAAAAAAAUAGGAUCUGGCAAGAUGGCUCAGCAGAUUAAAGGCAGUUGCUGCCAAGCUGGACAGCCUGAGUUCGAUUCCCAGAACCCACAUGGUAGAGCAAGGUAAUUGAUUCUUGCAAGUUGUCCUCUGACCUCCACGACAUGUUCAUGCCAAGGCCACCAACACACUGCACACACACACACACACACACACACACACACACACAGAGAGAGAGAGAGAGAGAGAGAGAGAAACCUGUGUCCCUAUUUGAAAAGCCUGUUCCCUAUAUUUUGCAGCAGCUUUCUCGGAUAUCUUGCUGUCACCAUAAAUUUUAAGGGACGUGUGACUGGAUUUAGCUAGGAACAUUGCUGCCCAAAAUAAAGUAAUAAAGAAUGAAUAUUGACAGUGUCAGAAGGUGCUGUGGGCAGGGUCUCCGGAUGACAAGAACCUGGGCAGACCUAGACACAAACUGUAUGGAGUCAGAUAAAUAAACCUGGCCAUUCUGGCCUCCAUGAGGGCAGGGUACAGCCCCCACCCCUGAGCCUGGUACCAGGCCACGACCUAGCACCUCCCAAGCCCUUCAGGAAGGGCCUCCUGGGUCAGUUCACUGCAGGGUCACAGGUAAGCAAGCACCCACUGGGAGAGUGUGUGUAGCAAUUGCCAUUACGGGAACUGGACCUUGAGCCUUUGUGGGACAAGAUUAGGAGCUGAAGUCCAAGGAGAACCGAGUCAUUGCAGAAUUGGAGCGGCCCUGGGUGGCAAUCUCCAGGGACAUCUGGACACCAGGCGUGUCCUGUUGUGUGCAGCUUCUGAUGAACCCAUGACUUCACAGUAAGGUACCAGGGUGGGUGCCAGUGGGGGCAGUGGGGAUAACCAUGCCAUGGGAGCUCCUGGGACAUCUGUACAUCUCCCACUGCCCAUGACCAACAACCCUCUGACCUCCUGUCCUCAUAGCCUCACCUUUGACCCUGCUUGUCCUAGAACACAGAGUGGAGAUUGUGGGAAACGUGGAUUCCAGCAUGUGGAGUAUUCCUCAACUACUGUACAACAGAUCACUACCAGGUACACUCAGGGCAAUGUCUGCUAAGAAGGACCUGUGGAGGUCCCUGGAAGAUGCAGGCAAGGAUGGGUAUCCCUGGAGCAGGUCACCCAGGCCUCCCGCAGGAAGUUCCCACAAGCUUCAGUUCUUGCCUUAUCUCAAGUCUAUCUUACGCAGAACCUCUGUCCAGCCCACGUCACCUGGAUGCUUAAAGCUCUCUUGUCAUGAUUGAUCGUUUUUACCUUAAUAACUGAAUUACUUUCCAAGUCACCCUGCUCAGAAACCUCUGAGAGCCCAAGAUUGCACUUCUUUCUCUAGAAAGAACCUUUAAGUCUCUGUCCCUAACCUUUAAGUUUUGCUCACCUGUAACUGUGUUAGGUCACGAUUUCAGUGCAGCCUCACUUCUUGCCGUUUCUACCUGGACCACUGCUCAUCACUGUCAGGGUCAUUUCUGCCAAGUGUGUGAAAUGUCAGCAGGGCUUCGAGCUGGGCCUCCUUCUCCAUCUACCCCUGAAGACUACAGCAGAGCCUUGGCAACUCCUCCCAGUGGGAGCUGCCAUCUUGGUAACUAUUCCUGUGAGGCUGGACUUCUGGACAGAAUCCUACAUUUAACAACCAGAAACUCUCCCAGCAGCAGCACACACAGAUGCCUGAGGAGCCCUAGCUGGUUACUUCGAGUCAGAAAUUUGUACAAAUAUAAAACAAUGCCACUUUCCUUGCUGAAACCUUGUUUUGGAAAAUACAUUUUUCAUACAAUUGGUCUUGAUGGUAACAUGUAAUAGGUUUAUUGUUCUGAAAUAAAUAACAUUUGCAUGUGUCUAAAGUUGAUUUUUUUAAGGUUUUCUCUAGGUACUAGUGCUGCUGUCUGGAACUCUUCAAAGUUCUCUGGGAUCCUUGAUCACUUUUCUGAGUCACCAGGAUCCGUGAGAUGAUGGUCUGGACUCUACCAUGCUCCAGUGACAUGCUGAGCUGCCCGCUGAGGUGCUGCAUGAACUGUGGAGCUGCCACUUAAAGGAACAUCUCCUCAGAUGGAUCCUUGAAGAGGCUGUUACAGUCCUCUUAGCCAGGGAGUGAGGCUCUGUCCUUGAGGUUCUUCCCAGUUUCUGAGUCCCUCAGACUUCCCUGUUGCUGUUAAAAAGCCUCCAUGACCAAGGCAACUUAAAGGAAUGGUUUAUUUUGGCCCAUGGUUCCCGAGGGAUAAGAGACUAUCACCAUCGUAUCAUGGAAGCGUGGCAGCAGGCAGGCAUGGUGGCAGGGACACCUGAGGGUUCUUAUCUUAAACCACAAGCAAGAAGCAGAACUCACAAGGAAUCACACAAGUCUUAUAUUCUCAAAACCUGCCUCUGGUGACAUAGCUUCUCCAGCAAGCUCAUACCCUAAGCCUUGGAAACAGCGCCACCACCUGGAGACUGGGCAUUCGAUUUGUGAGACUGUGAGGGACAUUUCUCAUUAGCACCAACACAGGCUCCUGCUGUGUCCCAACUUCGAACAACUGAGCGAGUCUUCCCACCUUUGGCCCUAUUCUUUGUUUCAUAUGAAUUUAAACAUAUUUUUUGUUGUUUCACAAGAAAAUCUACAGUUCUUUCAGGAGCAUACCGGGAUCACGUGAAUACAACGUGCAGGCUUUCUCUGGAGGCUUUCUGUCCCACCCAGCGCCCCACGCCUGCGUACUGUCUUGCAUCCUUCAGUGACACUGCAUAUCUUCACAAGGGCCUCUGACUCUCUGGGUGAAUCCACUCCUGGGCAGUCGACGACUCUGGUCUCAGUUGAGUGGACUCGUUUCUCAGUCUCGAUUUUAAUGCUUUCAGGUUGAAGCGCUUGAGGUUUUGUGUUUUUGGUCUUCUGGAUCAUCGAAAGUGCUGGAAAUAAAGGUAAUUGUCACGUUGUGUCAUGCCAUGCCAUGUCAUUUCAUCCCUUAGCUUUCUUUGUUUGCUGACCAGUGUCUAGUUCUGGAUGUCAGAGGAUCAGGUAGUGAUGGUGAAAGCACUUGAUAGGUUUAGUUUCCUGGGUUCAUGUUUGGCUGGACCUGAUCAGAUAUUUUAGUGUUUACUAAUAGAGCUAUUUUACUCCUCGAAUGACCCAGUAGCUAAAGAAGAAACCAGAAAAUCCUCAAAGACAUACCAGGUGGUUAACAGCUGAGUCCCACUGAGUGUUGAGGGGACAAAUGAGCAGCCCG
Rattus norvegicus (Norway rat) is the source of this 5681-nucleotide non-coding RNA. The record is from RefSeq and is a predicted model, not a curated record. NCBI's taxonomy places the organism in Eukaryota, Metazoa, Chordata, Mammalia, Rodentia, Muridae.